RNAcentral lists this ribosomal RNA (253 nucleotides) under uncultured bacterium. Its description in RNAcentral is "partial 16S ribosomal RNA". It matches the Rfam family "Bacterial small subunit ribosomal RNA", at positions 524 to 776 of the family's 1533-position model. The record is from RNAcentral.
UACAGAGAGUGCGAACGUUGUUCGGAAUUACUGGGCGUAAAGGGCUCGUAGGCGGCCAACUAAGUCAUACGUGAAAUCCCUCGGCUUAACCGGGGAACUGCGUCUGAUACUGGAUGGCUUGAGUUCGGGAGAGGGAUGCGGAAUUCCAGGUGUAGCGGUGAAAUGCGUAGAUAUCUGGAGGAACACCGGUGGCGAAGGCGGCAUCCUGGACCGAUACUGACGCUGAGGAGCGAAAGCCAGGGGAGCAAACGGG